UCCAAGCUUGAGUUUGAUCCUGGCUCAGGAUGAACGCUAGCGGCAGGCUUAAUACAUGCAAGUCGAACGGGAAUUGGGUAGCAAUACCUGAUGAUAGUGGCGCACGGGUGCGUAACGCGUAUGCAACCUACCUUUAACAGGGGGAUAGCCCGGAGAAAUUCGGAUUAAUACCCCAUAGUAUUAUGGAGAGGCAUCUUUUCAUGAUUAAAGUUCCGGCGGUUAAAGAUGGGCAUGCGUGCCAUUAGCUAGUUGGUGAGGUAACGGCUCACCAAGGCGACGAUGGUUAGGGGUCCUGAGAGGGUUAUCCCCCACACUGGUACUGAGACACGGACCAGACUCCUACGGGAGGCAGCAGUAAGGAAUAUUGGUCAAUGGGCGGAAGCCUGAACCAGCCAUGCCGCGUGCAGGAAGACGGCCUUAUGGGUUGUAAACUGCUUUUGUCAGGGAAUAAACCCUCGUUUGCGAACGAGGCUGAAGGUACCUGAAGAAUAAGCAUCGGCUAACUCCGCGCCAGCAGCCGCGGUAAUACGGAGGAUGCGAGCGUUAUCCGGAUUCAUUGGGUUUAAAGGGUGCGCAGGCGGGCGUAUAAGUCAGGGGUGAAAUGCCACGGCUCAACCGUGGAACUGCCUUUGAUACUGUAUGUCUUGAGUUUAGUUGAAGUGGGCGGAAUGUAGCAUGUAGCGGUGAAAUGCAUAGAGAUGCUACAGAACACCGAUAGCGAAGGCAGCUCACUAAGUUAAGACUACGCUCUCACAAAGC
This 759-nucleotide ribosomal RNA is filed under the name uncultured bacterium. Its description in RNAcentral is "bacterial SSU rRNA". It matches the Rfam family "Bacterial small subunit ribosomal RNA", at positions 1 to 760 of the family's 1533-position model. The record is from RNAcentral.